This 20-nucleotide non-coding RNA is filed under the name Arabidopsis thaliana (thale cress). Lineage: Eukaryota; Viridiplantae; Streptophyta; Magnoliopsida; Brassicales; Brassicaceae. The record is from RNAcentral.
CGACCUUCUCAGUUGUGGUA